Molecule: ribosomal RNA, 492 nt
Filed under: uncultured bacterium
Lineage: Bacteria
Description: partial 16S ribosomal RNA
Rfam family: Bacterial small subunit ribosomal RNA
Source: RNAcentral
AGUGAACGCUGGCGGUAGGCCUAACACAUGCAAGUCGAACGGCAGCACAGUAAGAGCUUGCUCUUACGGGUGGCGAGUGGCGGACGGGUGAGGAAUACAUCGGAAUCUACUUUUUCGUGGGGGAUAACGUAGGGAAACUUACGCUGAUACCGCAUACGACCUACGGGUGAAAGCAGGGGAUCUUCGGACCUUGCGCGAUUGAAUGCGCCGAUGUCGGAUUAGCUAGUUGGCGGGGUAAAGGCCCACCAAGGCGACGAUCCGUAGCUGGUCUGAGAGGAUGAUCAGCCACACUGGAACUGAGACACGGUCCAGACUCCUACGGGAGGCAGCAGUGGGGAAUAUUGGACAAUGGGCGCAAGCCUGAUCCAGCCAUACCGCGUGGGUGAAGAAGGCCUUCGGGUUGUAAAGCCCUUUUGUUGGGAAAGAAAAGCAGCAGGUUAAUACCCCGCUGUUCUGACGGUACCCAAAGAAUAAGCACCGGCUAACUUCGUG